RNAcentral lists this ribosomal RNA (468 nucleotides) under uncultured bacterium. Its description in RNAcentral is "partial 16S ribosomal RNA". It matches the Rfam family "Bacterial small subunit ribosomal RNA", at positions 28 to 507 of the family's 1533-position model. The record is from RNAcentral.
GACGAACGCUGGCGGCGUGCUUAACACAUGCAAGUCGAACGGAAAGGCCCUGCUUUUGUGGGGUGCUCGAGUGGCGAACGGGUGAGUAACACGUGAGUAACCUGGCCUUGACUUUGGGAUAACUUCAGGAAACUGGUGCUAAUACCGGAUAGGAGCUCCUGCUGCAUGGUGGGGGUUGGAAAGUUUCGGCGGUUGGGGAUGGACUCGCGGCUAAUCAGCUUGUUGGUGGGGUAGUGGCUUACCAAGGCUUUGACGGGUCGCCGGCCUGAGAGGGUGACCGGCCACAUUGGGACUGAGAUACGGCCCAGACUGCUACGGGAGGCAGCAGUGGGGAAUAUUGCACAAUGGGCGGAAGCGUGAUGAAGCAACGCCGCGUGCGGGAUGACGGCCUUCGGGUGGUAAACCGCUUUCGGCUGUGACGAAGCGUGAGUGACGGUAAUGGGUAAAGAAGCACCGGCUAACUACGUG